RNAcentral lists this unclassified non-coding RNA (266 nucleotides) under uncultured fungus. Its description in RNAcentral is "partial contains internal transcribed spacer 2 and large subunit ribosomal RNA". The record is from RNAcentral. Lineage: Eukaryota; Fungi.
AACGCAGAUGGCGCCUCCUGGCUCUGCCGGGGGGCAUGCCUGUCUGAGAACCGCGACAACACCGUCUGGCGACACGUCGCCGACCUGGGCGCUCGGCAGCGACGCCCCGAAUCUGGCGGGAGGCGGCGCGGCACGCAGGGCGGCAUUCGGUGCGGCCUGCUCCGCCGCCGACCGGGCGGGCGCGUGGCGGUCCGGAGGGACGCGGCUGCGCAGCCGGCAGCGAUGAUGGUGGUCUCAGAUCAGGCAGGACGACCCGCUGAACUUAA